UAGUCCACGCCUGUACACUAUGGAUGCUUGAUGUCGGGGCGUUCGGUCGACCCGGUGUCGUAGCUAACGUGGUAAGUAUCCCGCCUGGGGACUACGGUCGCAAGAUUGAUACGCAAAGGAAUUGACGGGGGCCCGCACCAGCGGUGGUACAUGUGGUUUAAUUCGAUGCAACGCGAAGAACCUUACCUGGGCUUGACAUAUAUAUGGCGUAUGUAAGAAAUUAUGUAUUCUGUCUGUUUUUUCAGAUAGCAUAUAUACAGGUGAUGCAUGGCUGUCGUCAGCUCGUGUCGUGAGAUGUAGGGUUAAGUCCCUUAACGAGCGCAACCCUUGCUUUUAGUUGCCAUCAGGUAAUGCUGGGGACUCUAGAAGGACUGCCGAGGUUAACUCGGAGGAAGGUGGGGAUGACGUCAAGUCAGUAUGUCCCUUAUGUCCAGGGCUACACACGUGUUACAAUGGUCGGUACAGAGUGACGCUAAUCCACGAGGCGGCGCCAAUCACUUAAAGCCGAUCCCAGUUCGGAUUGGAGUCUGCAAUUCGACUCCAUGAAGUUGGAAUCGCUAGUAAUCGCAGAACAGCAUGCUGCGGUGAUACGUUCCCGGGCCUUGUACACACCGCCCGUCACGCCAUGGAAGUUGGGAGUACCCGAAGUUGCUGUCCAUACGUUGGAUGUAACUAAGGUAAGACCGAUAACUGGGGCGAA
This 700-nucleotide ribosomal RNA is filed under the name uncultured organism. RNAcentral describes it as "bacterial SSU rRNA". It matches the Rfam family "Bacterial small subunit ribosomal RNA", at positions 791 to 1484 of the family's 1533-position model. The record is from RNAcentral.